Molecule: long non-coding RNA, 443 nt
Organism: Lepisosteus oculatus (spotted gar)
Lineage: Eukaryota; Metazoa; Chordata; Actinopteri; Semionotiformes; Lepisosteidae
Source: RefSeq, a predicted model, not a curated record
AAGACUAACGAUUGUUUUUCCUUUUGUGGCGUCGGGUCAGAAUGAAACACAAAUGGGUUUUCGGAGCUUUUCAACGCAAGCACUGAACGCCAGACGGUCAAACUUUCCCGAUGCUUUCCUGAAAAGAAAUGUAGAAACGUGAGACGGUCCCGACACAGGUUUGAAGCAGAAGUUAGGAAAACAGGGCACAUCAAGUCAAUGCAGGACCGUAGUACGACAUCACGCAGAACUCACUGGAGCAGGCGCCUUCUCAGCUUGACACUCCAGAAGAAAAACGUCAUCUGGCGUCGACCUUCAGAUGAGAGCUCGAGGACGCUCGUGGGGCGGUGGCACAAGGACAGAAAGUACAUGAAUAUAUUUAUUAUAACGUCUUGUUGCUUUGGAAGCAGACCAACUGUUGAGGAUUUCGUUCUGUGAACUGCAAUAAAAAUGUAUAUACUGUA